CUUGCUCCUGAUCUCAGAUCCAGUCUUUCACCAUUGGGAAUGUGGUGUGUUACAUUAAUUGACUUUCAGAUAUUGAAAAGAAGAUCGGUGUUCACUAUACCAUCCAGGCUGGUCACCAACUCCUGGCUUCAACUGAUCCUCCCACCUCAAGCCUCCUGAGUAGCUGGGAUCACAGGCACAAGCCAGUGGACUCAGCUUUAAUUGUUUAAGUGUUUGGUAGAAUUCAUUAUUGAAGCCAUUUGGGUUUGGGCUUUUUUGAUUACUAAUUCAAUCUCUAUUUGUUAUAGGUCUUUCCAGAUCCUCUGUUUGUGUCUUUAGAGGAAUUUGUCCAUUUUAUUUAAGUUACAGUGUUUUGGGCGUAAGCAAUUUUAAGGAGAAAGUUAUCCUUAACCAAGAUGGAAAAGGUGAGGGCAGGGUAUUGCAGGGAUUUUACCUCCCACCGGGUCCCUCCCACAAACUUCUCCUAAUAUAAUACCGGCGGAGUUUGGGCUGUGGCUUUGGAUGUGUGAGUCUCAGAUGCCUGUUGGGCCCCCUCAUGGAAACGCUGGUGAGUGGUUGGAUGAACAACUUACCGGCGUGGCCCAUGUUGGAGACUGGGAAUUGUGACCACAGAGAGAGCCUUUAGAGCUGUCAGACAGGAAGAGGCACCAAGGAGCCAUUGCUCAGGUGGAGGGGAAGUUGAGGCAUGGUGCUUGGGCCUAGGGAGCCAGCCUGAAAGGUGAGAAGUCAGGAGAGGGGUCCCCGGCUUACAGCCUGGGAGCUGACUCAGAUUUGGCGAGUGCAGGUUUUGUGGAAUGGUGGUGUAUUAGUCCGUUUUCACAAUGCUAAUAAAGACACACCCGAGACUGGGCAAUUUACAAAAGAGAGAGGUUUAAUGACUUACAGUUCCAUAUGGCUGGG
Cercocebus atys (sooty mangabey) is the source of this 900-nucleotide long non-coding RNA. RefSeq lists it as uncharacterized. Lineage: Eukaryota; Metazoa; Chordata; Mammalia; Primates; Cercopithecidae. The record is from RefSeq and is a predicted model, not a curated record. The transcript has 3 exons.